CAGGCGAAGGUUAGAGAGCCAUAUCAACAGGUGAAGGUUAGAGUGCCUAAUCAUCAGGUGAAGAUUAGAGUGCCAUAUCAUCAGGUGGACGAGAACUGGACUUGUGUCCUCCUGUGAGCACAGCAGCACCUACCCAGAAGGCUCCGGAGUCGGGGGAUGUGCUCCUCUGCUGCAGGCCUUGACCAGAGAGGGAGAGUCCAACCUGGGAUCAGACUUCCAUCCUGUCCCAUCACAGACAGUCUUCCUCAUGGCUGCUUCAUCUGCCUUACCCUACAACAUGUUCUCUGGAGGACAAGAGAUUCAGAAGGGGAGGGAAGAACUCCAGCUUGACUUCUGUCUGUGCACCUGUUGGGAGGUUUUUGUUCAAUUUCUGAUCAACAAUAAACCACAGCAGAUGCCAUGA
This is a non-coding RNA of Peromyscus maniculatus bairdii (prairie deer mouse), 403 nucleotides long. NCBI's taxonomy places the organism in Eukaryota, Metazoa, Chordata, Mammalia, Rodentia, Cricetidae. The record is from RefSeq and is a predicted model, not a curated record.